UUAAAUGUCAUAUUACAGUAACAUUUCCUCUUCCAUUUGUUAUCAUAACUUUAAGGAGUCUCUUUUCACUUUAAUUUAAUUUUGUGACAUUUUCUGUAGCAGCAAUUUUUUUAUUCUUCUAAACACCAUGGACCAAUGUAGCGAUGACAGGAAACACCAGCAACCUCCUGAUAAAGAACAACUUUUGGGUAAACACACCACCAGAGACAAACUGAAUGAUGUGAUAUGCUGACAAAACCCACAGGUUGGGUUCAAGAAAAUGAGAAAAGAUACUUCAUCAUAGAGCAGGUCUUGUCCUCAGCAUCUCUUAGAUGAAUACAUAGUGGAUCACACUCCUGUUGCUUUGCUUGUUGAAACUGCAGUGCCCUGAGAUGUGAGGCACAGCAGCUGGCACAGCCCUUCCACCUCAACAGGAAAAAUGGAAAGAAGCCAGAGGCAGACAGCACUGCAGAUGGAAAGGGUCAGUCAUGGAAAUCUGAGUUCAAAACCUACUGAUCCCAGCAGCCCUUGCAUUGAAACACAAAUGAACACAGAGUAUGAACAAAAGAUCUAAAUGCAAACCAUCUAAAGUGCAUGACAUAUAUGCAGAUACAUUUGCAAGUGAUGCCACUGGACAUUGCUGAAUAGAGCAAGGCACAACUGGGAUUCAGCAGCUGCUCCCUUCCUGCUCUGUGCAGAUAACACUAGGUUUCAUGCAUGUGGCAGCUUCUGUCAUUUUCUGUCCAAGUCUGGGGGAGGGAAGGAUACAGAAGAUAGGAGAAAGCAAUAUUUUAUAUUGCUAUCUAGCAAACUUCUCAGAAACAUUGAAAAAAUGGUGUUAACACAAUUCUGAAAGAGAAACUGCUGCUCAGCUGAGAGGAAAUAUGACACCCAAAGAACCUCCUGGGGAGAAGUGGGUGAAGGUGUGCAGAUAUGACUUCUGAAGAUGAAGAAUACAGUACUUCUCUUUUUGAUUCAUAAACCAAAUAAUUUUUUGAGGCUUUGAAAAUGUGAAAAAUCUCUACCCCUUCUUAAAACAAAAGGUGUGUA
This is a long non-coding RNA of Passer montanus (Eurasian tree sparrow), 1029 nucleotides long. RefSeq lists it as uncharacterized. The transcript is spliced from 4 exons. NCBI's taxonomy places the organism in Eukaryota, Metazoa, Chordata, Aves, Passeriformes, Passeridae. The record is from RefSeq and is a predicted model, not a curated record.